This 476-nucleotide ribosomal RNA is filed under the name uncultured bacterium. RNAcentral describes it as "bacterial LSU rRNA". It matches the Rfam family "Bacterial large subunit ribosomal RNA", at positions 878 to 1359 of the family's 2925-position model. The record is from RNAcentral.
AGCCUCGCGAGGUUCGCACCGGAGGUAGAGCACUGGAUGGGCUAGGGGUCCCACAGGAUUACCAAACCCAACCAAACUCCGAAUGCUGGUGACGAUAUCGCGGGAGUCAGACUGUGGGAGAUAAGUUCCAUGGUCGAGAGGGAAAGAGCCCAGAUUACCAGCUAAGGUCCCAAAGUGUAUGCUAAGUGGUAAACGAUGUGGGGACACAUAGACAACCAGGAGGUUGGCUUAGAAGCAGCCAUCCUUUAAAGAAAGCGUAAUAGUUCACUGGUCAAGUGGCCCUGCGCGGAAAAUAUAACGGGGCUAAAGCAUACCACCGAAGCUGUAACAUCCUACGGGAUGGGUAGGGGAGCGUUCCUGCGCCGCAGAAGGGUACUCGGAAGAGUAUUUGGAGGUUCAGGAAGUGAGAAUGCCGACAUGAGUAACGAUAAACCGGGUGAAAAAGCCCGGUCGCCGUAAACCUAAGGUUUCCUGCG